GAUGAACGCUGGCGGCGUGCCUAAUACAUGCAAGUCGAGCGAACAGACGAGGAGCUUGCUCCUCUGACGUUAGCGGCGGACGGGUGAGUAACACGUGGAUAACCUACCUAUAAGACUGGGAUAACUUCGGGAAACCGGAGCUAAUACCGGAUAAUAUAUUGAACCGCAUGGUUCAAUAGUGAAAGACGGUUUUGCUGUCACUUAUAGAUGGAUCCGCGCCGCAUUAGCUAGUUGGUAAGGUAACGGCUUACCAAGGCAACGAUGCGUAGCCGACCCGAGAGGGUGAUCGGCCACACUGGAACUGAGACACGGUCCAGACUCCUACGAGAGGCAGCAGUAGGGAAUCUUCCGCAAUGGGCGAAAGCCUGACGGAGCAACGCCGCGUGAGUGAUGAAGGUCUUCGGAUCGUAAAACUCUGUUAUUAGGGAAGAACAAAUGUGUAAGUAACUAUGCACGUCUUGACGGUACCUAAUCAGAAAGCCACGGCUAACUACGUG
RNAcentral lists this ribosomal RNA (497 nucleotides) under uncultured bacterium. RNAcentral describes it as "partial 16S ribosomal RNA". It matches the Rfam family "Bacterial small subunit ribosomal RNA", at positions 28 to 507 of the family's 1533-position model. The record is from RNAcentral.